This 148-nucleotide long non-coding RNA is filed under the name Monodelphis domestica (gray short-tailed opossum). RNAcentral's name for it is "lncRNA (ENSMODG00000040324.1)". The record is from RNAcentral. Lineage: Eukaryota; Metazoa; Chordata; Mammalia; Didelphimorphia; Didelphidae.
GCUUAAAGACCUCUAGUCAAUAGGAACCAACUGAAAUACUUUGGAAUUGCUCAAAUGGACUUCACUUGACAAAAAGAUGGAACAUGAUAAAUGUUAAUUGACUGCCUGGCAGGAUGAAUCCCUGAAUCAUUAGAGGUCAGUAGUAAUA